This 468-nucleotide ribosomal RNA is filed under the name uncultured bacterium. Its description in RNAcentral is "partial 16S ribosomal RNA". It matches the Rfam family "Bacterial small subunit ribosomal RNA", at positions 28 to 507 of the family's 1533-position model. The record is from RNAcentral.
GACGAACGCUGGCGGCGUGCUUAACACAUGCAAGUCGAACGGAAAGGCCCUGCUUUUGUGGGGUGCUCGAGUGGCGAACGGGUGAGUAACACGUGAGUAACCUGCCCUUGACCUUGGGAUAACUUCAGGAAACUGGGGCUAAUACCGGAUAGGAGCUCCUGCUGCAUGGUGGGGGUUGGAAAGUUUCGGCGGUUGGGGAUGGACUCGCGGCUUAUCAGCUUGUUGGUGGGGUAGUGGCUUACCAAGGCUUUGACGGGUAGCCGGCCUGAGAGGGUGACCGGCAACAUUGGGACUGAGAUACGGCCCAGACUCCUACGGGAGGCAGCAGUGGGGAAUAUUGCACAAUGGGCGGAAGCCUGAUGCAGCAACGCCGCGUGCGGGAUGACGGCCUUCGGGUUGUAAACCGCUUUCGCCUGUGACGAAGCGUGAGUGACGGUAAUGGGUAAAGAAGCACCGGCUAACUACGUG